CUCAAAAUUACUGCUUAUCCGAAGUUUUUAAUUGCCAAUUAUGUUUUAAAGUACAUUUUGUAUCGAUUUAAAAAAAAAAAUUGUCUUACAUCAGCUUCCUCCAUACCUUGUAUCGUUCUUCGUAACGAAAAAUCCUCUCCUUUUAUGCCUUUCAUUAUGUUAUAUUAUGAAUGAGUUCUUUUAUAUCCUAUAUCAUGUAACUUUACAAUGUUUCUUAUUUAAUACCCUUUACUACAUAACUUUACAUAUAGAUUCUACCACUGUGUUGUGUGUAAUACGAUAUUAAACCAUUCAAGACAGUAAAUUUUCAAAUUUAAAAUGCGAGGCUCGCCGAGCGUUUUAAAUAUAAAGUUCAACUGUGAGAGGAUAAAUCGUGAAAGAUUAAGUUAUACUUUGUACCACGAAACGUUACAAUGGUUUUUUUUCGGUAUAUAUGUUACAGGGAAUUUGUGAAAUCAGGGAUUUUGUAAAAUCACUGAAAUUUCAGGGAAUUUGUAAAAUCACUGAACUGAUUAGUGAUUUUAUAAAAUCCCUGAUUUUGCCUAGUGAUUUUACAAAAUCCCUGAAAUAAUAAAGAUCUUUUUUACAGAUUCACUGAUUAAAUUCAGGGGAUUUAUAAAAUAAACUCAUUCGUUUUAUUAAGAAUUUCUGU
RNAcentral lists this long non-coding RNA (652 nucleotides) under Mytilus galloprovincialis (Mediterranean mussel). The record is from RNAcentral. Lineage: Eukaryota; Metazoa; Mollusca; Bivalvia; Mytilida; Mytilidae.